UAUCGCCUGUAGAGCAAAGCGGUUUCCUGCAGAAGAGCUCGCCUCCUCCCUGACGAAAGAGCGAGGCGACCGCUCGGGCGAGUGGUGUGGGAUCGGUCGCUCCACUCCCCGCAAGACCACGCAGACCCAACAAAAGCCGGCGGCGCAAGGGCGCGAACGAGAAGGGAAGUGCGGGAACGGGAGAAGGGAAGCACACGAACCAGGGCAGUGGAGGCACGGUGCACGAACAAGAGGAGAAGGCGGCGCACCUCGUCCUCAGCCCGCCGUCGACAUCAUGGAUUCAAGCUCUCCGUGCAAGGUAUGACGCUACUCCUUCCCCUGCCUCCUCUUGUGCUGAUGGCCAGAUGGAUUUGAUUCAGAUUGGUUCAGUAAAUUAGGCUAGGGUUUGAUGGAUUCUGGUGAUUUGUUCCAAGAACAAGAUCGAUUCCCCUAUCCUGUGAUUUAGAUUCAAUCAAUUUGGUUAAGGUGGACAUGCUUGUAGAAAUCCCCAUCUAUUUCUUCUUAUUAAUCCCUGAGAGAAACGUGUAGAUCCGUGCUAUUACUCUGCACUCUGCAGUUGCGGGUAGAAAAUCAUAUUGCUUAGUACGUGUGCAGAAGAACAUACAGAGGAAAUUAUAUAAACAAGGUGCCGGUUUGCUGUAGGCAGCCAUGUCCGUGGAUUGGGACUAUUUAUAUGUGAUUCAUUUUGGCAUAUAAAAGUACUACAAAGCAGGGAUGUUGAGACAGUGCUCUGAAGUCUGAACUUGAACUUACAAUUUAGACAUUAGCAUGUUACCAUCUUUUUUUUCUUGUUUGAGGAAUGACUGUUGGAAUUCAGAACUAGAACACUUGAAUACUCCUGCAGUUUUUUAAACUGUAAUUGCACUACAGCAGGAUACUUGUAUUAUUCGGUUGCUCCAUGCUAAUAUUUAACAGGAAAACCACUGCUCAUUUGUUAAAUCUGACCGAUGCUAAUAUUUGAAUUAAGACAAAAGUUGAAUGCUUCGACAUAUUUUGGAUGUAGGCACGUUUAAGUAUUUGAAUAGAUUAUGCUAUCUGAACAUGUCACAAUUGAGUUCCGAUGAGUUCGAAGAUGACGCCGAUGACCCAACAGAAAUUUUCUCUCUAGAAGAUUACUUGGCACAACAGAAUACUCUCAACAACUUUGCUACACAAAUAGCCACAAACAUUCAUGAUGCACUAGGAGUUCCAAGUACUAGGUGUCGGUCAGCCCCUAGGACAUAUAUUGACAGGAAGAGAGAAUUUUACAGUGAACUUCUCAUAGCAGAUUACUUCUGUGAUAAUCCUACCUAUCCUGAUUACUACUUCCGUAGAAGGUUCCGCAUGGGAAAACCCCUCUUUCUACGCAUUGUUCAAGCUCUUGGUGAGUGGUCUCCCUACUUCACUCAAAGGGUAGAUGCCCUGGGCCGUCCAGGUCUAUCACCUUUAUAGAAGUGCACAUCAGCCAUGCAUAUGUUGGCGUAUAGUGUUCCUGCUGAAAAAACAGAUGACCAUGUAAGACUUGGUGCAUCUACGACACUCGAGUGUCUUGAGAAUUUUUCUCAGGGGGUCAUUGCUAAGUUUGGUGGAGAAUAUUUGCAAAGGCCAACUGUUGAAGUCAUUCAACGUCUACUAGAAAUUGGUGAAGCACGUGGUUUUCCUGUACCAAAGCCGCAAUGGGCACCAGUUCCUGUAUGUGCAUUGGUGGGAAGCUGUGAAAGACAGCCAAAAGUGGAAGAUUCAUGUAUACACAGAAGGAGAUGGAACAAAGAGGUCAUCACCAAUACCAACUGAGAAUGCUCAGCGUCCCCCAGGAACAAAGAGGGCGAAGAAAGCUACAGGAAAAGAUAAGGAAGCCCCUACUUAGAUGAAUAACAUGAAAGAACAGAUUGAGGCCUUUCUACAAGCACAAGCUGAUGCUAAGGAGCGAACUGCUGUGAUGAUGGAAUUGCAGAGUUGACUGUCUGCUCAGAAGGUAGAAGCUAAUCGACUUGCAUAUGAGGCAGCAAAGGAGAGGACAGUGGCCAAGUUAGCAGAGGAAAGAACCAAGUUGUUUGACAAGUUCACAGAUAUGUUGAGUGCUGACACAAUAAGAAUGGAGCCAUGGGCAAAGGAGAUGCAUAUGAAGGCUGUCACAAGAUUGGGGGAUCAACUUUUCAGGGAGGAAUAGAAGAUGUUCUACAUAUAUGUCCAACAAAAGCGGAUUUCAUGUGCCAUAAAGCGUAGAAGAUGUGAGACUUUUUUUUGGAAUGAGAAGAAUCAAAGGAUACAACAACAAAUUCAGUCUGAAAUUUAAUUUGUGUGUUUACAAAUCUAUCUUUCCUUUAUGAGUAUUUGAAAACCUUAAGAUUAUUCUGUUACUAUGGGAUUUUGUAGUGUCAUGGACAACACAUACUCGUUGACACUGUUUGCAUAUCAAGGUUGCUGUUUUUUGUUUGGAAA
Long non-coding RNA from Triticum dicoccoides, 2421 nucleotides. RefSeq lists it as uncharacterized. NCBI's taxonomy places the organism in Eukaryota, Viridiplantae, Streptophyta, Magnoliopsida, Poales, Poaceae. The record is from RefSeq and is a predicted model, not a curated record. The transcript is spliced from 2 exons.